RNAcentral lists this ribosomal RNA (468 nucleotides) under uncultured bacterium. Its description in RNAcentral is "partial 16S ribosomal RNA". It matches the Rfam family "Bacterial small subunit ribosomal RNA", at positions 28 to 507 of the family's 1533-position model. The record is from RNAcentral.
GACGAACGCUGGCGGCGUGCUUAACACAUGCAAGUCGAACGGAAAGGCCCUGCUUUUGUGGGGUGCUCGAGUGGCGAACGGGUGAGUAACACGUGAGUAACCUGCCCUUGACUUUGGGAUAACUUCAGGAAACUGGGGCUAAUACCGGAUAGGAGCUCCUGCUGCAUGGUGGGGGUUGGAAAGUUUCGGCGGUUGGGGAUGGACUCGCGGCUUAUUAGCUUGUUGGUGGGGUAGUGGCUUACCAAGGCUUUGACGGGUAGCUGGCCUGAGAGGGUGACCGGCCACAUUGGGACUGAGAUACGGCCCAGACUCCUACGGGAGGCAGCAGUGGGGAAUAUUGCACAAUGGGCGGAAGCCUGAUGCAGCAACGCCGCGUGCGGGAUGACGGCCUUCGGGUUGUAAACCGCUUUCGCCUGUGACGAAGCGUGAAUGACGGUAAUGGGUAAAGAAGCACCGGCUAACUACGUG